RNAcentral lists this transfer RNA (69 nucleotides) under Cavia porcellus (domestic guinea pig). It matches the Rfam family "tRNA". Rfam says of the family: Transfer RNA (tRNA) molecules are approximately 80 nucleotides in length. Lineage: Eukaryota; Metazoa; Chordata; Mammalia; Rodentia; Caviidae. The record is from Rfam by way of RNAcentral.
GGGGAUAUAACUCAGUGGUGCAGUGCCUGCCUGGCAAGCAUGAAGCCCUGAGUUCAAUUCCUGGUACCA